GGCGGACGGGUGAGUAAUGUCUGGGAAACUGCCUGAUGGAGGGGGAUAACUACUGGAAACGGUAGCUAAUACCGCAUAAUGUCGCAAGACCAAAGAGGGGGACCUUCGGGCCUCUUGCCAUCGGAUGUGCCCAGAUGGGAUUAGCUAGUAGGUGGGGUAACGGCUCACCUAGGCGACGAUCCCUAGCUGGUCUGAGAGGAUGACCAGCCACACUGGAACUGAGACACGGUCCAGACUCCUACGGGAGGCAGCAGUGGGGAAUAUUGCACAAUGGGCGCAAGCCUGAUGCAGCCAUGCCGCGUGUAUGAAGAAGGCCUUCGGGUUGUAAAGUACUUUCAGCGGGGAGGAAGGGAGUAAAGUUAAUACCUUUGCUCAUUGACGUUACCCGCAGAAGAAGCACCGGCUAACUCCGUGCCAGCAGCCGCGGUAAUACGGAGGGUGCAAGCGUUAAUCGGAAUUACUGGGCGUAAAGCGCACGCAGGCGGUUUGUUAAGUCAGAUGUGAAAUCCCCGGGCUCAACCUGGGAACUGCAUCUGAUACUGGCAAGCUUGAGUCUCGUAGAGGGGGGUAGAAUUCCAGGUGUAGC
RNAcentral lists this ribosomal RNA (586 nucleotides) under Escherichia coli. RNAcentral's name for it is "bacterial SSU rRNA". It matches the Rfam family "Bacterial small subunit ribosomal RNA", at positions 97 to 679 of the family's 1533-position model. Lineage: Bacteria; Pseudomonadati; Pseudomonadota; Gammaproteobacteria; Enterobacterales; Enterobacteriaceae. The record is from RNAcentral.